GGGUGGUAUAGUGGUGAGUAUCCCCGCCUGUCACGCGGGAGACCGGGGUUCGAUUCCCCGACGGGGAGCCA
RNAcentral lists this transfer RNA (71 nucleotides) under Sphaerodactylus townsendi. RNAcentral's name for it is "tRNA-Asp". The stretch from base 4 to 60 matches the Rfam family "tRNA", at positions 8 to 63 of the family's 71-position model. Rfam says of the family: Transfer RNA (tRNA) molecules are approximately 80 nucleotides in length. Their secondary structure includes four short double-helical elements and three loops (D, anti-codon, and T loops). Further hydrogen bonds mediate the characteristic L-shaped molecular structure. tRNAs have two regions of fundamental functional importance: the anti-codon, which is responsible for specific mRNA codon recognition, and the 3' end, to which the tRNAs corresponding amino acid is attached (by aminoacyl-tRNA synthetases). tRNAs cope with the degeneracy of the genetic code in two manners: having more than one tRNA (with a specific anti-codon) for a particular amino acid; and 'wobble' base-pairing, i.e. permitting non-standard base-pairing at the 3rd anti-codon position. The record is from RNAcentral. Lineage: Eukaryota; Metazoa; Chordata; Lepidosauria; Squamata; Sphaerodactylidae.